UACGUAGGGGGCAAGCGUUAUCCGGAUUUACUGGGUGUAAAGGGAGCGUAGACGGCGGGGCAAGUCUGGAGUGAAAGGCCGGGGCCCAACCCCGGGACCGCUCUGGAAACUGCCCGGCUGGAGUGCGGGAGAGGUAAGCGGAAUUCCUAGUGUAGCGGUGAAAUGCUUAGAUAUCACGAAGAACUCCGAUUGCGAAGGCAGCUCACUGGACUGCAACUGACACUGAGGCUCGAAAGUGUGGGUAUCAAACAGG
Molecule: ribosomal RNA, 253 nt
Filed under: uncultured Eubacteriales bacterium
Lineage: Bacteria; Bacillati; Bacillota; Clostridia; Eubacteriales
Description: uncultured Clostridiales bacterium partial 16S ribosomal RNA
Rfam family: Bacterial small subunit ribosomal RNA
Source: RNAcentral